RNAcentral lists this long non-coding RNA (422 nucleotides) under Felis catus (domestic cat). RNAcentral's name for it is "lncRNA (ENSFCAG00000043686.2)". The record is from RNAcentral. Lineage: Eukaryota; Metazoa; Chordata; Mammalia; Carnivora; Felidae.
UUGAAUUCACAUUUGACGCCACGAAGGAAUCCAAGUGGAAGAAUGUGUAUUUCCAAAACUAGAAUCCUGAAAACCUCACCUUAAUCCACCGUCCUGCUUCUGGAUACAAAGCCAGAUUAGCACAAGACUCAUCUGGGUUUGGAAAAGCUACUAGGAAGAAAUUCUGGAAAAGCUGUAAUGUAGUGGAGAAGAAUGUUAAUAAAUGAUACCUGUGUGAACAGCCUCCUGACCACUGUUGGUUUCUGAGUUCCUAUCGGUCUUGGCUAUCGUCUCUGUCAGUCUUGGAGGAUGGAAGGAAAGUUCACAAACGCUGAUAUCAACUAAUUCUAGAGAAAGAAGGUAUGUAGAGAUAUUCUUGUGAGUUUUUGUUGUUGUUGUUGUUGAUGACAUAUAUCUAAAGAGCCUAAAACAUAUUCUAAGAU